UACGGAGGGUGCAAGCGUUAAUCGGAAUUACUGGGCGUAAAGGGUGCGUAGGCGGUUGUUUAAGUCUGUUGUGAAAUCCCCGGGCUCAACCUGGGAAUGGCAAUGGAUACUGGGCAGCUAGAGUGUGUCAGAGGAUGGUGGAAUUCCCGGUGUAGCGGUGAAAUGCGUAGAUAUCGGGAGGAAUACCAGUGGCGAAGGCGGCUUUCUGGUCUGAUUCUGACGCUGAGGAGCGAAAGCCAGGGGAGCGAACGGG
This 253-nucleotide ribosomal RNA is filed under the name uncultured bacterium. RNAcentral's name for it is "partial 16S ribosomal RNA". It matches the Rfam family "Bacterial small subunit ribosomal RNA", at positions 524 to 776 of the family's 1533-position model. The record is from RNAcentral.